This 1568-nucleotide long non-coding RNA is filed under the name Canis lupus familiaris (dog). Its description in RNAcentral is "lncRNA (ENSCAFG00040017859.1)". Lineage: Eukaryota; Metazoa; Chordata; Mammalia; Carnivora; Canidae. The record is from RNAcentral.
CCGUCGGGUCCCCCCAUCCCAGGCCGCGCCCCGCCGCAGCCUGCAGGGCCGGGGUCCCGCCUGGGCCUGAGCCUGGGCCUCGGGCCUCCAGCACCCUGCGUGCCGAGCGACCCGGGUGCGCACACGGAGGGCGCCGCGGCCCCGACUUCGGAGAUCAAAGGGGCGGUCGAGACGGGGCGUCCGCUGGGUGCAGCCCUGACCCCGGAGGAAGGGCGGGAGCCGGGAGCAGGCGGCGGCCCGGGGUCAGGCCGCGGUCGGCCUCGCAGCGCAGACGCUGGGCCGAGGAAACGGGGGGAGGGGGGGGGCUGUGCGGUGGCCGAGGCCUCGGAGAGGUCCCUGCGGAUGAGCGCUGGGGGGGCGCAGUUUUCCCUGAAACGUGUAUGUCAAGGUGGAAGACCUUUCCCCGAGCUUGAGCUGAACAGCCAAAGCUGGGAGAGCAGGAAAAAGGGAGGACGAAGUUGCCUGAAAUUCAGAUUUAAGAUGGAAGAGGCUGUGACAACUGGAGGGAAGUCCACGUGAACCGCAGAGCAGAGAACAGAGAUAUGCAAACAAAUAUGUUCUUUUCCACCUUUUAUUUAUUAUUUUUAUUUAUUUAUUUAUUAUUAUUAUUUUGACUUUUCACCUUUUAAACCGUGGGAGACCAGGAAGCCGACUGAGCCAACCCCUUCCCCCCACGUGAGGCUUCAGGAAUAGAGAGAAGGCUGCGUGCGACCCAAAAUACUCGUGUCCUUCAAAAACUGCUGCUCCAGGCCACUUUGAGAAGAAGAAUGUAACAUCCUAACUGCACGGCAGUCCCAUUAAACCCCUGCCCAGAAUCCCUCCUGAUCCUAAGGAGCUUGUUAUGGCUUGGGGCUAAGGAGCCUCAAAACACUGAAUUACACGGGGCCACUGCAAGCCUGCAGGGCCUUUGAAUGGCCUUGAGGCCUGCGUGUGGGGCGAGGGGAAGGUUCGGGGGUCAGGGGAGAAGAGGAGGUGCCUGUCCACCAGGGUCAAGGCUAAUGUGUUGAUUUGUGAGAUUUGUGAGAGGACGUGUGUGGCCCUGUGCCGCUGAUAGCAGGUUUGUGAGUUGUGUUUUUGAGUGUUUGUGAGUGAAUGUGUUUGCGAGACUCCUGUGUGUGACAGUGCGUGAGCUGGCAUGUUGUGUGUAUCUGUGUGUGUGUGUGUGUGUGUGUGCAUGGGAGUGUUUGGCUGUGUGGCAACGUGUGCGAUCAUGCAUUGGUGAGUGUGUGUGUGCGCGUGUGCCCACCGGCCCUCUCCAUCCCGGAGCCCGGCCUUCCGGGGCCAUCUGUUUCCACUUAGCAGCAUCCCGAUGGGGAGAAGGCCCGUCCUGGGGCCGCCCCGGAGCGCGCCGCCCGGUUCUGCUGCGUGGAAGGCGGAGGCGGGCGCCCUGGCCAGCGGGCCCUGCACCGCCGGGCAGCCACACAAAGAGCCCUCUUUCCUGCCGCCAGCCGCCCAGCCGGGCCCUCCUGGAUCAUAAACCUGCCGGCGAAGACAUUCAGAAAUAGUUCACCCGCGUUCCCGCGAGCAUGUGCGAAGGCUGGAAUUCCAUUUGCUAUAAAGUUUUAUUU